Long non-coding RNA from Peromyscus californicus insignis, 5325 nucleotides. RefSeq lists it as uncharacterized. NCBI's taxonomy places the organism in Eukaryota, Metazoa, Chordata, Mammalia, Rodentia, Cricetidae. The record is from RefSeq and is a predicted model, not a curated record. The transcript has 5 exons.
AUGAGUAGUUGAGACCAUGUGGAUAAUUGCUAAUGAGCCCUUGCUGGCAUCUGUCCCUUACAUCAGUGUUUCUUAUGUUAUGUGCAUUCCAAGAUUUAGUUACAGCCGGUUAGGUCUCAACAAUAAGAUUAGGGGCUGGAGAGGUGGUUCAGUGGUUAAGAGUGCUUGCUGCUCUUGGGGAGGACCUGAGUUCACUCACAACCACCUGUAACUCCAGCUCCAGGAGAGCUGAUAUCUUCCUGUGGCCUUUGAGGACACACACACACCCCUAAAAAAGUCAGCUCCACAGAGCUGAAAGAGAUGGCAGUCUCAGGGUAGAAAACAUCACCAAAUUUCCAUUUAUACCACAUUUACUGACAGCCAAAGCCAGUUACAAGAUGACAUGCAGACCACCAUUUGGUAGACGAAGCUGCCACACUACAUUGUCACAGGGUAUUUAUAACACUUUUAAACUAUUAUAUAAGAACUGUGUAUUAUGUCUGUGCCCAGUAGGUAAUUGAGGAUGUUCAUUGCAAGAAUUCAGAAAUAAAAACCUACUCCAGUGAUGUCUGUGUCUACUGCCCUUGGCUCAUAAGCUUGACCCGGGCUUUUUUCUUACUCAUUGCUGGACUUCUGAGUUGGGCUAAAACUUGCGUGGUCUAGAAAGUUCAAUGCCCUUAUCUGUAACACAGACGGUGCCUUUUUACCUGAGCAUUGUGACUCACCUCAGCCCCCUCUAUCUUGAUGCUGGGGUGAGCAUCAUAAGUGUUCCCAGUCACUGCCAGGAAAAGGAAGUGACCUGUUUACCAAAGAUUGAGCCGGCGGAGACCUCCAAAAGCUGGCCCUUGCUGCCCCCUAGUGGCUGCUUUUUGCAUAGCUCCACCCAAGGCAUGAAAUCAGAUAAAUGACCAAAAACCAGGAGGGUGGAAUCUGAAAGCUUCCGUAGGAGAGCUCUCCACUGUGAGGAAGACUACAGGAUGAGCAAGGUCUAACCCAACGGCCAAGAACACACAGAAAACCAGAACUCAUAGCUCCUUCCCAGAAACUGGUUCACAGGUCCAGAGAAAGGCCACCUUCAUUCCAACCUUACCACGCCGAUGCUUUCGAAUGAAAAAAUGGCUGUUCCAAAGAAGAGAGGGGAGAAGAUGGUGAGGACACGGAGGUUCCGAAUGAAGACCAGAAGGCCCAGAACGGGCAGGAAGGCGAGCAUGUAGAGUCAUUAAGAUGUAGGACUCUCAGCUCCUUCUCCAGCACCAUGACUGCCUGCAUGUUGCCAUAUCCUGCUAUAAUGAUAAUGGACUAAGCCUCUGAACUGGUUUUCCUGUCUUUCCACCGUGGACAUUGUGACCCAACCCUGGGCCCAUUCCUACUACCCAAGCGAUGAGGAUGCCUGGCUGCCUUGUUACCAGCUGCAGGAUGGGAGGAUGUGCUCAUCCAUUCAGCUAUACUGACCGAGUCUCCCCAGCUUGGAGUGGGGGAAGGAGUCGUGUGGAUGUCUCUUCUUGCUUUCUUCAAUUUAGCUUUUCAUAUUUCUUAUGUUGGAAAUCAGGUGCCUGAUAUUGUAGCAUGAGUCUUAAAAGUUCUUAUUAAUAAAAUCAAACCUAAGCCAGGUAUUGGGGUGAACACUGGAAGAUCAGAGAGACAGAACAAGCCACAGCUAACCUCACCUGGCCAACUUCUCAGCUGGUCUUGUUUCCUCAGACUCUGAGUCCUCAUCCAAAUGGGUCUCAGCUGAACUGCUGCUAGAAGCCUGAAUGCCUAACCAGCCAAAUGCUUAACCAGGCCAAAUGCUUCUAGUUUCUGGUCCUCAUGCCUGAUAUACCUUUCUGCUUUCUACCACCACUCCCUGGGAUUAAAGGCUUGCUUUCUGGGAUUAAAGGCAUGAUGAGUCACCAUACCUGGCUGUAUCCUUGAACACAUGGAUUUCUGCCUCUGGAAUGCUAGGAUUAAAGGUGUGUGCUACCACUGCUUAUCCUUUAUGUUUAAUAUUGUGGCUGUUCUGUCUCUGACCCCAGAUAAGUUUAUUAGCAUGCACAAUAUUUGGGGGAAUACAAUACCACAUGAUAUCCCUCAGGUAGGUCUGGUGGGGGUAGUUUUGGAGCAGGGUUAGGGUUCUGUGGGGAAAGAUGGAGGAGGGGCUUGUGCUGUGCUCAUCUUGCUCUGCUUCUCCUCCAUGGAUGCUUUUGCAUUGAUGUAUGUUGUCUACUUUCAUGGAGAGACGCCGAGGGUACUGUGCUGUUAGGUCAGGUUUCCGGUGUGCUCAAACCCAGGUCCAACAGUUCAUCCCAAAGAAAAGCCAGUGCCCCAGUGUCCAAGGGGCAAGCAUCGGGGUCAAAAAGGACUUUAUUCAAUAGCCAAAGAAAGGAGAAGCGGGGGCCUUGCUCGUGAGUUAACUUCUAAGCCAGCAGACUGGGGAGUUACAGACAGGGGAGAAGAGGAGCAGGCCAGGCUAAUAAAGGGGAGGGACAUGUGUGUUCCUUCUGGGAAGAGGUGGAGACCUUCUAGGAGGUGGACGCUACCUCUCCUUGCUUCUCUCCUGGUGUUUACAGUCACGGUGGCCCAUAAGUGAUUUGAGCCUUGGAGGGAGGGAGGUAAGAUGUUAGACAAGUCUAGGUGGAGUUAACCCUGCCUUGUACUUCGGGACAAAAUAUUUCUCAAAUGGCCAUCAUGUCUACAGACAGGGCUGAGAAGGGUCUGACGUGAAGUUUAAGGUUGAUGAGACAGAUACAAUAUGAUAUAUGUGUUUUUCUUUUUGUUGUUGUUGUUGUUCUGUUUCCUCAUUGGGCUUCUGCAGGCCGAAACAUAAAUUGUUAUUUAGGCAAAAAUGGCCUUUGAGACUCCAAAGGGCAAGCUUGAUAAUCGUUAUUGCCAUAAGUUACAUGGUAGGGUUAGUGAGAUGGCUCAGUGAAUAAAGAAAGGUGCUUGUUGCCAAGGCCAGAGACCUCUGAUUUGUAAGACGGCUCGUCAGAUAAAGGGGCUCACUAUGCCAGUCCGACAACCUGAGUUUGCUCUCCAGAGCCCACAGGAAGGUGGUAAGGAAGAGAAUCAAUUCUGUAAAGUUGUCCUCUGACCUCCACACGUGCUCUGCAGCACACGCGCGGGCACACACACACACACACACACACACACACACACACACACACAAACUUAAAAAAAGAAAAAAACAUACACACGAACAAUCACCAGCUCAAUACAAAUGCACACCAGGGUAUCAGUUGUGCAAAUACAUAUGUUCGUUGGAGAAGCAGGGGACUUAGUGGAAAGCUAGGCUGAAAUUUCACAUUGACCUUGACACUUUUGACUUUUGAAGCCACGUAGAGUUUUUUGUUACACAACCAAAAACUUUAAAGGGUGGAUGGAUUAAGACUACAGGAAGGCCCAACAAAAUACUGUAAGAAAAAGAGAGGGUCUAGAAGGACUUCUGUCAUCAGGCCUCCCCAGGGAGCCGCUGAUGUUUGCAGGAGGUAUGUUUUGAUCACCCCUGCUUGCCUCCUCUGCCACACCCUCCUCCUCUCCCAGGUCCCCUCUUCUUUCACCCUUUCCUUUUUGAGACUGGGUCUCUCCUAGCCCAGGCUACCUUGAACUCCCCUGCAGUGGAGGAUGACUUAAGUUUCUGGUCCUCCUGCCUCUGCCUCCCUGGUGGAAGAUUUUUCGGGAGCUGAGAACAUAACCCAGGGCUCGGUGUGUGCUAGGGGAACACUACCCACUGAGCUCCACCCCCAGCCUUCUUCCUGCUCAGUGCUGUGUCUGGCACACACUGGGUGCCUUUAAUGCGCUCUAUUAUUCUCCUGAAUUGACUCUUUCAAGAACUGGUUGUGGUUUUGAAAUUUGCAAAGGGAAUGUCAAACACUGAAGCCCAGAUUUGAGUCCCACCCUCCCACCCACUCACAGAGACGAAGAUGGAAACAGUUCAGAAAAUCCUCCCACGUCUAAGUUCGAGGCUGAGAAGCAUGUUCUUGGCCACAGAGCUCCAUGAAGUAAGUAAGGGAUAGGCAGCUGGAGGCAUUUCCUCCUCAGCUUUAAGCAUAGACUGAAUGUUCCCUUUUACUUUUUCGUGUCCUUGUUCAAAGGUGUGGACCGAUAAGGGGGUGGGGAGAGGCGCUGUUUGGGAUCUAAGGAAAACGGCAGACAGUGUGUGCUUAUGGGUGUGGGGCUACUUCGGUCUCCAGUGUCUCCAGGUGUGCAGCUCACCCAGAAUCCCAUGCACAUCCACCCUAGGAGCAAGACAGGUAGGGAGUAUAGUGUUCCUGAUACAGAUGAGGACUAUGAAGCCAGAGAGAGGUGUGACGGCAUGCCCGAGGGAGGUGGGAACAUCUGGGAAACGGGUGUGCUGGUCCCUCUGACUCAGGGUGCUACCCAGGUGACAGAUACUAUGGCACUGCACUUAUGACACCUUCAGCCAGAGUGCCAACAUUCCCCUCAAGAAGCUAGCUCAUUGGGCUGAAGGCCCAACAAACCAGGGCCAGGCCAGCCUCCUGCUAAGAAGUCUUUGAGACUAGAAGAGCAGAGGUAGUGGGACACACACACACACACACACACACACACACACACACACAGAGGCACGCACACAUAUAUAUGUACACACAAACAAAUAAAUGUAAAAAAAUAAAAGAAAAGACAACUACAAUUGUGCAAGCCUCCUUGCAGGGGUUGCACUUCAUGUUCAGCCCAGCAGGGGGAGCACCAUGAUAGUUAAGGCUGAAGGUGACUCACGCGCCUUGGGUGGAGAGACUAUCUUAGCCUCCUGAAUAUAUAGCAUCUCUGUAUCAACGCAUGGAAAAGCAGCAGAGGUUGCCCUGGCCCAAGACUGAAGAAAACCCUACAGUCCUCGUUUGUGCUGCUGGUUGUUUAGAAAACUCACUAUGCUCAUCUUUCUUCCUGGAUGCCUGCACAAGUUCCUGAGAGGAGACAUGGAGCACGACUCUGGCUCACACUCUGCUGCCGAUGGAGGACCCAAAUGAAGCUGUUAAAAAGGAACACGAGGGGCUGACACAGCAGAGCACUUAGCACACACACAUGAGGCCCUGGGUUCAGUCCCCAGCCCGGCCUUAGAAGGAGAGAGAGGAGGCUGUGUGAGGACCCAACAGGGCGAGCAUGUGGCCCGCCCAGCCAGACAGUGGGACUGUAAGCCCUGGUUUUGGAACCGAACAACUUUGUUGUAGUAGACAGUGAACUGCUUGGAGAUAUUAUGUGUGGACUGGGUGGCUUCCUGGGGACACAGUUCUGACCAUGUGUGUUGGAUCCCACAUUCCCUCUAUCAGUACUCAAUAGUUUCUGUGUGUAUGCAUUUUAAUAUACAUUGAUAUUACAUAUGUUCAUCUAUAUUAAUAUAUAUUCUCACAUGUA